This 240-nucleotide unclassified non-coding RNA is filed under the name soil metagenome. RNAcentral describes it as "partial contains 5.8S ribosomal RNA, internal transcribed spacer 2, and large subunit ribosomal RNA". The record is from RNAcentral.
AACGAGGCCGACCUGCGGCUGAGUUACCUGCGGAAGGAUCAUUAUUGAAUAAACUUGGUUGGGCUGUUGCUGGCUCCUUGGAGCAUGUGCACGCCUAGCACCAAUUUUUACCACCUGUGCACCUUUGUGGACCUGGAUACCUCUCGAGGAAACUCGGUUGGAGGACUGCUGUGCGAAAGCCAGCUUUCCUUACAUUUCCGGUUCAUGUUUUCACAUACCCCAUACGAAUGUAACAGAAUG